RNAcentral lists this ribosomal RNA (459 nucleotides) under uncultured bacterium. RNAcentral describes it as "partial 16S ribosomal RNA". It matches the Rfam family "Bacterial small subunit ribosomal RNA", at positions 338 to 795 of the family's 1533-position model. The record is from RNAcentral.
CCUACGGGAGGCAGCAGUGAGGAAUAUUGGUCAAUGGGCGCGAGCCUGAACCAGCCAAGUCGCGUGAGGGAAGACGGUCCUAUGGAUUGUAAACCUCUUUUGUCGGGGAGCAAAAGACGCCACGCGUGGCGUUCCGCGAGUACCCGAUGAAUAAGCCUCGGCUAAUUCCGUGCCAGCAGCCGCGGUAAUACGGAGGCUGCGAGCGUUAUCCGGAUUUAUUGGGUUUAAAGGGUGCGCAGGCGGAAGCUAAAGCCAGCGGUAAAAUUGAGGGGCUCAACCUCUUCGAGCCGUUGAAACUGGUUUUCUUGAGUGAGUGAGAAGUAUGCGGAAUGCGUGGUGUAGCGGUGAAAUGCAUAGAUAUCACGCAGAACUCCGAUUGCGAAGGCAGCAUACCGGCGCGCAACUGACGCUCAUGCACGAAAGUGUGGGUAUCGAACAGGAUUAGAUACCCUUGUAGUC